UGGCUCAGAGGUUAAAGCGUCUGCCUCCAAUGCAGGAGACCGGGGUUCGAUCCCUG
This 56-nucleotide transfer RNA is filed under the name Bos taurus (domestic cattle). It matches the Rfam family "tRNA", at positions 8 to 63 of the family's 71-position model. From Rfam's summary of the family: Transfer RNA (tRNA) molecules are approximately 80 nucleotides in length. Their secondary structure includes four short double-helical elements and three loops (D, anti-codon, and T loops). RNAcentral also lists the same sequence under 1 other name. The record is from Rfam by way of RNAcentral. Lineage: Eukaryota; Metazoa; Chordata; Mammalia; Artiodactyla; Bovidae.